UACGUAUGGUGCAAGCGUUAUCCGGAAUCACUGGGUGUAAAGGGUGAGUAGGCGGCAUGGUAAGCCAGAUGUGAAAGCCUUGGGCUUAACCCGAGGAUUGCAUUUGGAACUAUCAAGCUAGAGUACAGGAGAGGAAAGCGGAAUUCCUAGUGUAGCGGUGAAAUGUGUAGAUAUUAGGAAGAACACCAGUGGCGAAGGCGGCUUUCUGGACUGAAACUGACACUGAGGCACGAAAGCGUGGGGAGCGAACAGG
RNAcentral lists this ribosomal RNA (253 nucleotides) under uncultured bacterium. RNAcentral's name for it is "partial 16S ribosomal RNA". It matches the Rfam family "Bacterial small subunit ribosomal RNA", at positions 524 to 776 of the family's 1533-position model. The record is from RNAcentral.